Molecule: long non-coding RNA, 2068 nt
Organism: Stegostoma tigrinum
Lineage: Eukaryota; Metazoa; Chordata; Chondrichthyes; Orectolobiformes; Stegostomatidae
Exons: 3
Source: RefSeq, a predicted model, not a curated record
UUCACGCAGACCUGGAGCCGAAAGCAGCAGCGGGCAUGGCGCUGUACGAGCCAGAUGGGUGAUGGAAGAGAUCUUUGAGAAGUCAGGAAUUGCAGGAAGAUUUGUGCGUGGCAUGGAUUGGAGGGCUGCAAUGCCUGGAGAUAACGUGCAUGAUAAGCAUUCGAGGGCAGCAGUGCAUGGAGAUGUGUGCCUGAGAGGGGUUUGGAGGGCAGCAAUGCAUGAAGUAUUCCUGUGACUGGAAUUGGUGGGCAAUAUGGGCACCCGUGCAUGGAGAUGUCUGCAUGGCAGGAAUUGGAAAGAGAAUGAAGACCUUUUCCCCAUGAAGAGAUGGCAUCAGUCAGUUGUUUGAUGCAUCGAAGAGCAACAGAUUAACAGCUUUAGAAAUGGAAGCCUCCACCUCUCGAAAACUUUAUUAAACCAGUAAUGUUCAAAGCUGAAAAAGUACCUGAGUUGCCAAAAUCAGCGUCAAGAUUUGAGGAGGCAUAUUACUGGGAUGGCAGAGGUAUUCACCCAGAGCACCGCACUGAUCUGAGUGGUUCUCAGCCCAGGCUGACUGUCUCUGGUGGUGUGGCCCCCUUUGCCAGUCAGCAGGAGAAAGCACUCCAUUCCUCUGCAGCACCGCUAGAUCUCUGCCAGCGAUUAAGGUGCUAGUUUACCUUUCUGGGCCUUUGGGAGAAAAAUAUAGGGACUGCAGAAUGAAGUGCGGAUCGUGGCUUACAGUGACUGAACAGAUGUGCAGCUGGGGUUUAAAUAAGGCACAUGGACAUCAAUUUUGCAAAUUCCAAGCACGGGUGAGCAUUUUCACCUCCUUUCAUCUCGUAUCAAGAGACAGACAUGAGGGGCGGUUGAAUAAUUAACAAGAUGAACAGUGGAUGAUUAUGUAAGAAAAGUUGCUGUGGACCUUGACGCCAUGAAUCACACUGGGAAAAAUACUGUCUAAAAAUGUGAGAAUUAUACCAUGUGAGCAAGAUUAGGUAUUACUGUAUAAUAUGCAUUUCCUCCAAUAAAGAUCCUGUGCAAGUGAAGAACAAUGAAUGUGCAAUCAGCAUAAUUAUUUUAUCCUUUCCUUGUAAAAUAAAUCCUGUUAUAAUUGAUGAAUUGUUAUUCAUACUAAUGUAGAAUAUUAAUUUUUGAAAGUCAGUUCUGUGGGGAUGAAGGUUGCACAAGCAUAAAGGUUCACAAAAGGCAUCUAAUACCAUUGUACAGGGCUUGCCUUUGGUGCUUGAAACUUUUCUUUUGAUGAUAGCUAUAACUCAUGAGAAUCCAUGAUUUCCUGUUGUAUCUCUAUCAAACUGCUCAGAAAUGAAUCCAGAAUAAAACCCGAGAAAUUAUACAGCUUCAGAUCAUAUGGCUAAUGAGACUACUGUCAGAAAUGUUAGGAACAAUGUAUAACUAAGUUCGAACCAAAUGCCUAUUCUGAAGAACGGUCACUGGCCUCAAAGCAUUAAUUCUGUUACUCUCUCCAGAACUUCUGAGUUUUUCCAGUAUGUUUGUUUCAGAUUUCCAGCACCUGGGCUAUUUUGCUUUUAUUCAACUUAGAUAUUGCAUGUUAAGAGGAGGGAGACAUAGCCUUAGUUUAAGUUUAUGGCAUCGUCCUUGUGAGUUUGAUGCUGAGAAAUCUGGAAGCAUUUUUUUAAAACAUGCAUUUUAAUCAGGUUGAACAGUGAAGUAUAAAGAUAAAGGCUGGUAGUUAAUGUAUUAAAAAAUGAGGAAAAUAAAUGCUGCUAUUGCUUAGUGACCAGGGUCCAGGGACACAGAGGAAAAAAAACGUCUAGAAGUGUCUGUGUGCCAUCAUGUGGAAUCAGAAUUGUAAAACUCCCCGGUAUGAAAUGCAAAAAUUUUGAAACUGAAUUUUGUGAACUCAUGUUUGCUCUAAAGUUAAAGUCACAUUAAUUUAGUUGGCAGUUUGUUAUAGUGCCUUAAGGAAGAUACACGAGCUGAAGAGGUCAGGAAUACAGAGAAAUUCACUGCAAGGAAAGUGGUUGCAGUUGUGCUAGCCUGAGCAAAGGCCUUAGUAAUGAGAUAGUGGUAGAUCUCUACUAUGUUUUGCUGUAUGUAAGCAUAUUGA